RNAcentral lists this ribosomal RNA (253 nucleotides) under uncultured bacterium. RNAcentral's name for it is "partial 16S ribosomal RNA". It matches the Rfam family "Bacterial small subunit ribosomal RNA", at positions 524 to 776 of the family's 1533-position model. The record is from RNAcentral.
GACGGAGGAUGCAAGCGUUAUCCGGAAUUAUUGGGCGUAAAGCGUCCGCAGGUGGACAUACAAGUCUGCUGUCAAAGUGCAGAGCUUAACUCUGUAAAGGCGGUGGAAACUGUAGGUCUUGAGUAUGGUAGGGGUAGAGGGAAUUCCCGGUGUAGCGGUGAAAUGCGUAGAUAUCGGGAAGAACACCAGUGGCGAAAGCGCUCUACUGGGCCAUAACUGACACUGAGGGACGAAAGCGUGGGGAGCGAACAGG